UGGGGAAUAUUGGACAAUGGGCGCAAGCCUGAUCCAGCAACGCCGCGUGGAGGACGAAGGUCUUCGGAUCGUAAACUCCUGUCAGGGGGGACGAACGGACGUCGGUGAACAAUCGGCGUCUCUGACGGUACCCCCAGAGGAAGCCCCGGCUAACUCCGUGCCAGCAGCCGCGGUAAUACGGAGGGGGCGAGCGUUAUUCGGAAUUAUUGGGCGUAAAGGGCGCGUAGGCGGCUUGGUAAGUCAAAGGUGAAAUCCCUCGGCUCAACUGAGGAAUUGCCUUUGAAACUGCCUGGCUUGAGGCCGGGAGGGGGUAGCGGAAUUCCCAGUGUAGCGGUGAAAUGCGUAGAUGCUGGGAGGAACACCAGUGGCGAAGGCGGCUACCUGGACCGGUUCUGACGCUGAUGCGCGAAAGCGUGGGGAGCAAACAGGAUUAGAUACCCUGGUAGUCCACGCUGUAAACGAUGGGUGCUCGGUGUCGCGGGUAUCGACCCCUGCGGUGCCUUAGCUAACGCGUUAAGCC
RNAcentral lists this ribosomal RNA (520 nucleotides) under uncultured Acidobacteriota bacterium. RNAcentral describes it as "bacterial SSU rRNA". It matches the Rfam family "Bacterial small subunit ribosomal RNA", at positions 355 to 866 of the family's 1533-position model. Lineage: Bacteria; Pseudomonadati; Acidobacteriota. The record is from RNAcentral.